UCCCCAAUCACCCAUGCCCCGAGAGGAC
Molecule: small RNA, 28 nt
Filed under: Bombyx mori (domestic silkworm)
Lineage: Eukaryota; Metazoa; Arthropoda; Insecta; Lepidoptera; Bombycidae
Description: ovarian small RNA-27217
Source: RNAcentral